GUUGUCUUGGCCGAGUGGUUAAGGCCAUAGACUAGAAUUCUUUUCGGAUCUUCCCGCGCAGGUUCGAAUCCUGCCGACAUCG
This 82-nucleotide transfer RNA is filed under the name Dreissena polymorpha. It matches the Rfam family "tRNA". Rfam says of the family: Transfer RNA (tRNA) molecules are approximately 80 nucleotides in length. Their secondary structure includes four short double-helical elements and three loops (D, anti-codon, and T loops). The record is from Rfam by way of RNAcentral. Lineage: Eukaryota; Metazoa; Mollusca; Bivalvia; Myida; Dreissenidae.